AGAGUUUGAUCCUGGCUCAGAACGAACGCUGGCGGCACGCUUCAUACAUGCAAGUCGCGCGAUUAAGGCCCGCAAGGGCGCAUAAAGCGGCGAACGGGUGCGUAACACGUGGAUAAUCUGCCUUUCGGUGGGGGAUAACGGCUGGAAACGGCCGCUAAUACCGCAUGUGGUUGCGGGGUCUUUGGGCCCUGCAAAGAAAGAGGCCUUUAAAGCCUUGCCGAGAGAUGAGUCCGCGCCCCAUUAGCUAGUUGGCGGGAUAACAGCCCACCAAGGCUUCGAUGGGUAGCCGAGCUGAGAGGUUGAUCGGCCACACUGGGACUGAGACACGGCCCAGACACCUACGGGUGGCAGCAGUAGGGAAUAUUGGACAAUGGGGGAAACCCUGAUCCAGCGAUGCCGCGUGGAUGAUGAAGGCCUUCGGGUCGUAAAGUCCUUUUCUGAGGGAAGAACUGUCUGGCGAGGAAAUGCGCUGGAUUUGACGGUACCUCAGGAAUAAGCAACGGCUAACUUCGUGCCAGCAGCCGCGGUAAUACGGAGGUUGCAAGCGUUGUUCGGAAUAACUGGGCGUAAAGGGAGCGCAGGCGGCUUGGUAAGUCUAAAGUGAAAUUCCAGGGCUCAACCCUGGACGUGCUUUGGAUACUGCCUGGCUUGAGUACGUGAGAGGAGAUUGGAAUUCCAGGUGUAGCGGUGAAAUGCGUAGAUAUCUGGAGGAACACCGGUGGCGAAAGCGGAUCUCUGGCACGUUACUGACGCUGAGGCUCGAAAGCAUGGGGAGCAAACGGGAUUAGAUACCCCGGUAGUCCAUGCCGUAAACGUUGUGCGCUAGGUGUAGGAGGUAUCGACCCCUUCUGUGCCGCAGCUAACGCAUUAAGCGCACCGCCUGGGGAGUACGGUCGCAAGACUGAAACUCAAAGGAAUUGACGGGGGCCCGCACAAGCGGUGGAGCAUGUGGUUUAAUUCGAGGCAACGCGAAGAACCUUACCCAGGCUUGACAUCCCAAGACCGCCUAUGAAAGUAGGUUUUCCCUUCGGGGACUUGGAGACAGGUGUUGCAUGGCUGUCGUCAGCUCGUGUCGUGAGAUGUUGGGUUAAGUCCCGCAACGAGCGCAACCCUUGUCCUUAGUUACCAGCGGGUUAUGCCGGGCACUCUGAGGAGACUGCCGAUGAUAAGUCGGAGGAAGGUGGGGACGACGUCAAGUCAUCACGGCCCUUACGCCUGGGGCUACACACGUGCUACAAUGGUCGGUACAGAGGGACGCAAGAUCGCGAGAUGGAGCCAAUCCCAAAAAGCCGGCCUCAGUUCGGAUUGCAGUCUGCAACUCGACUGCAUGAAGUCGGAAUCGCUAGUAAUCGCGGGUCAGCUACACCACGGUGGAUACGUUCCCGGGCCUUGUACACACCGCCCGUCACAUGACCCGAGUUGGGUGCACCCAAAGCCACUGGCUCAACCAGCAAUGGGGAGAGGUGUCUAAGGUGUGUCUGGUGAGGGGGAUGAAGUCGUAACAAGGUAACCGUA
RNAcentral lists this ribosomal RNA (1515 nucleotides) under uncultured bacterium. RNAcentral's name for it is "bacterial SSU rRNA". It matches the Rfam family "Bacterial small subunit ribosomal RNA". The record is from RNAcentral.